AAUCAACGCUGGCGGCGUGCCUAACACAUGCAAGUCGAGCGAGAAAAGGUAGCAAUACCCUAGUAAAGCGGCGCACGGGUGAGUAACACGUGGAUAACCUGCCUCGAAGUGGGGAAUAACCCCGGGAAACCGGAGCUAAUACCGCAUAACCUGACGAUAUCUGUGGAUUUUGUCAGUAAAGGAGCAAUUCGCUUUGAGAGGGGUCCGCGGCUGAUUAGCUAGUUGGUGAGGUAAUGGCUCACCAAGGCCACGAUCAGUAGCCGGUCUGAG
Molecule: ribosomal RNA, 270 nt
Filed under: uncultured bacterium
Lineage: Bacteria
Description: partial 16S ribosomal RNA
Rfam family: Bacterial small subunit ribosomal RNA
Source: RNAcentral